UGGGGAAUAUUGGACAAUGGGCGAAAGCCUGAUCCAGCCAUGCCGCGUGUGUGAAGAAGGUCUUCGGAUUGUAAAGCACUUUAAGUUGGGAGGAAGGGCAGUAAGCGAAUACCUUGCUGUUUUGACGUUACCGACAGAAUAAGCACCGGCUAACUCUGUGCCAGCAGCCGCGGUAAUACAGAGGGUGCAAGCGUUAAUCGGAAUUACUGGGCGUAAAGCGCGCGUAGGUGGUUCGUUAAGUUGAAUGUGAAAGCCCCGGGCUCAACCUGGGAGCUGCAUCCAAAACUGGCGGGCUAGAGUGGGUCAGAGGGUGGUGGAAUUUCCUGUGUGGCGGUGAAAUGCGUAGAUAUAGGAAGGAACACAAGUGGCGGAGGCGACCACCUGGGCGCAUACUGACACUGAGGUGCGAAAGCGUGGGGAGCAAACAGG
Molecule: ribosomal RNA, 429 nt
Filed under: Pseudomonadota bacterium
Lineage: Bacteria; Pseudomonadati; Pseudomonadota
Description: Proteobacteria bacterium partial 16S ribosomal RNA
Rfam family: Bacterial small subunit ribosomal RNA
Source: RNAcentral